CCACACUCCACAAUUUUCAUUUUCCCUCCUCUCAAACAAUUUCCUACUUUGUACACCACACAAGUGAACCCUAACCUAACCUCGUGCUGCCUCCAUUCUCUUUCUUUUCUCUUCGAGACCUGAACCAAAAACCAAAAUUAGAAUCCAAGUGCCGUUAAUCUCAUUCCUCACCAUGAGGCUCCUCAGAACUCUCUCUGGUACCCCUAUAAAUGUAUAUAUGUGUAUCAGUGUGUGUAUGGAAGUAUUUAUUUUUGGAUUCGUCUUCACAAGUCACCAUCGUUUAGUGACUCAAGUGAUAGGGCGUUGAUGUUACAAAUCCUGGAUUUUUGGAUUCGUCUUCAAAGGUCACCAGUGAGUAUUUAUUUUUGGAAUUUAUGGUUUUUAAGUUUCUUAUUUGGAUAAGCAAAUCCUAGAUUUUUAUUUUUAAGUGGAAUUAAUUUUGAUGUAAUUGUGUGUUUGUGAAUGGGAAACUAGGCCUUAUUUGUUAAGGGAUGUGUAUGAUGAUACGAUGCCAGAUGGAGUGAAGCCAAAGAGGGAUACAUUUCAUUCACUUACAGUCGGGACAAUGAAAGGGCCUAGAUUGCAAGAUGCUUCCUUUUUCAGGGACGAAAUGAAAUCCAUGGGGUUGUCUUCUGAUGUAUGUUGUUUCUUAAUCUUGAUCCAAUAUUCUGCUGCCCUGUUUAUUUAUCUUGACGAUUCAUGGCGAAUAAAUGUCCUGAAUGAAACUAUUUAUAAGACAAAAAGUCAAUAUAGAGGCCUGAAUCAUGAUUGAUGCCAAAAUAAAUGAUGAGAUUGUUACUAAUAAUUAUGAAAUAAUUGAUAAAUUAAAAUAAUUUAUGUUAGUUUCAGCUAAACAUUGCCUUGUUAAUUUUUUCGUUUUAUUUUUUUUUUCCAUUCAUGAAUUGCAAACAGCAAAUUUGAUAUGGG
Molecule: long non-coding RNA, 927 nt
Filed under: Olea europaea subsp. europaea
Lineage: Eukaryota; Viridiplantae; Streptophyta; Magnoliopsida; Lamiales; Oleaceae
Source: RNAcentral